CUAUUGGCUUCUAUUGGGCCCCUACUGUGUCCUAUUGGGUCCCAACAUGAUCAACACGACGUCUAUAGGGUCCUCCCAUCCCCUAUGGCUUCUAUUGGGUCUCUACUGGCUUCUAUUGGGCCCCAACAUGAUCAUCUCGACAUCUAUAGGGUCCUCCCAUCCCCUGUGCCUUCUAUUGGGCCCCUAUUGGUUCCUAUUGGGUCCCUACUGGGUUCUAUCGGUCUCCUUUUAGGUCCUCCCAACCCUAUAGCCUCUAUGGGGUUCCUAUUGGCUUCUAUUGACUCCUAUUGGGCCCCAGUGUGAUCAACUCAACGUCUAUUGGGUCCUCUCAUCCCCUAUUGGCUUCUAUUGGGGUCCUCCCAUCCCUAUUGGGGUCCUCCCAUCCCCUAUGGCUUCUAUAGGGCCCCUUAUUGGGUUCUAUUGGGUCCCUAAUGGCUUCUAUGGGGCUCCUUUUGGGUCCUCCCAACCCUAUAGCCUCUAUGGGGUUCCUAUUGGCUUCUAUUGACUCCUAUUGGGCCCCAACGUGAUCAACUCGACGUCUAUAGGGUCCUCCCAUCCCCUAUUGGCUUCUAUUGGGGUCCUCCCAUCCCUAUUGGGGUCCUCCCAUCCCUAUGGCUCCUAUUGGUUCUCAACAUAAUCAACUUGACGUCUAUUGGGUCCUCCCAACCCUAUAGCCUCUAUUGGGCCCUUAUUGGCUUCUAUUGUGUCCUCCCAUCCCCUAUUGGCUUCUAUUGGGGUCCUCCCAUCCCCUAUUGGCUUCUAUUGGGGUCCUCCCAUCCCUAUUGGGGUCCUCCCAUCCCUAUGGCUCCUAUUGGUUCUCAACAUAAUCAACUUGACGUCUAUUGGGUCCUCCCAACCCUAUAGCCUCUAUUGGGCCCUUAUUGGCUUCUAUUGUGUCCUCCCAUCCCCUAUUGGCUUCUAUUGGGGUGCUCCCAUCCCCUAUUGGCCUCUAUUGGGCCCCUAUUGGUUCCUAUUGGGCCCCUAUUGGUUCCUAUUGGACCUCUACUGGGUUCUAUUGGGCUCCUAUUGGCUCCUCCCAUCCCCUAUUGGCUUGUAUUGGCUCCUAUUGGAUCCUCCCAUCCCCUAUUGGCUUCUAUUGGCUCCUAUUGGGUCCUCCCAUCCCCUAUUAGCUUCUAUUGGCUCCUAUUGGGUCCUCC
RNAcentral lists this long non-coding RNA (1157 nucleotides) under Coturnix japonica (Japanese quail). Its description in RNAcentral is "lncRNA (ENSCJPG00005002795.1)". The record is from RNAcentral. Lineage: Eukaryota; Metazoa; Chordata; Aves; Galliformes; Phasianidae.